This 413-nucleotide ribosomal RNA is filed under the name bacterium Ellin5292. RNAcentral's name for it is "bacterial SSU rRNA". It matches the Rfam family "Bacterial small subunit ribosomal RNA", at positions 51 to 478 of the family's 1533-position model. The record is from RNAcentral. Lineage: Bacteria; Bacillati; Actinomycetota; Actinomycetes; Mycobacteriales; Mycobacteriaceae.
ACACAUGCAAGUCGAACGGAAAGCCCCUUUCGGGGGACUCGAGUGGCGAACGGGUGAGUAACACGUGGGUGAUCUGCCCUGCACUUUGGGAUAAGCCUGGGAACUUGGGUCUAAUACCGAAUACACCUUGCUGGUCGCAUGGCCUGGUGAGGAAAAGCUUUUGCGGUGUGGGAUGGGCCCGCGGCCUAUCAGCUUGUUGGUGGGGUGAUGGCCUACCAAGGCGACGACGGGUAGCCGGCCUGAGAGGGUGUCCGGCCACACUGGGACUGAGAUACGGCCCAGACUCCUACGGGAGGCAGCAGUGGGGAAUAUUGCACAAUGGGCGCAAGCCUGAUGCAGCGACGCCGCGUGAGGGAUGACGGCCUUCGGGUUGUAAACCUCUUUCAGCAUCGACGAAGCGCAAGUGACGGUAG